This is a long non-coding RNA of Poecilia latipinna (sailfin molly), 4737 nucleotides long. RefSeq lists it as uncharacterized. The record is from RefSeq and is a predicted model, not a curated record. The transcript is spliced from 2 exons. Lineage: Eukaryota; Metazoa; Chordata; Actinopteri; Cyprinodontiformes; Poeciliidae.
GGGGGGGGGAGUUGGGAGCAAAAAAACCCCAACAAAAAACAAACAAAAAAACGUGAUAAUGAAAAAUGUGGCCAAAGCUGACAAAGGCAAAUGUUGCAGUUCACCGCCAUCACACAUGGUGUGAUAGAGGGACGUCAUUGCAUGAUGAGAUAUCAGACAUUGAUUUAGCAGUUAAAGCAGGGUGAGUGUCAUUAAGGUGGAAAAUAGCAGCUUUCAUUGGGGAAGAACAAUGAAGGAUUAUGGGAAAGAACUGAUAAUUCUGUGGAAAUGAAAUUUUGAUGACAAUCCACCUGGGCUGGACUUCAAAGCAGAGUUACAAAACUGGACUGAAUUACUGUAUACUGGUUUCAUAUUGUAUAAAACACUGCUUUUGCUGUGUAAUAGCUUUAUUUUUAUGCUAAAAAGGGAAAGAACCUUUAUUUUCCAGAAUUUUUUUUUUAAAUCUUUCCUAAUUCUAGUAAACCUUUUAUUGUGUGUUGUGACGUCUUAUGUCAUUUAUCUUUACACCCUUAUCGAAGGGCAGCAUCUUUCUGCAAAUUAUUGACUCAAAGCUUAUUUUUUUUUUGUCUGUAAAAGUUCCAGGUUUAAAGUUCCAGGUUAAAAACUGGAACAAAACUGUAUUCUUGUGAGGGGCUACUGGUAACAAAAUGCCUAAAGCUUAAGUUGAAAAUUGAGUCUUUAUUAUAUGUGGAGACAAUGUUAUUUGACUCAUUGAAUUGGAAUAAUGAUGAAUCAGGUCUCCAAUUGUCCCAGUAUAUUGUACGUAAAAAAGCAGGAAGUAGUCAAAUUAUUUACAAAAGUAAAGUUCUUGUUUACUGUUUGUUGAGAGAUCAGCCUGUGUUUUAUUAGUUAUAAGUCAGAUGGUUCUAUAGUUAAGUAAUUUCAUUAAAAGCUGGGUAAAUCUAUUCACCUUUGAAUGACGACUAAUCAGUGAUCCACCAUUAAGCUCAAAAUGUGCGAUUUGAAUUUUUAAUUUUCAGCUUUUUUCUUGUUUUCAAUUGAAGUUUCCUCCAUAAAAUGGAGUGAAAUACAAUAAAAUGAAACACAAAGAAACACAAACGUUAAUCACAGAUCACAAUGCAAAUCUGCGGCAAUCAUGCUGAGAAAUACAUAUAUCCCCUACAGUAUGUGAUAUCCUCCUUUGCUAAUCUGCUCGUAAUAUAUUUCAUUUAGUAACACUCAUCCUCAAGUUUACAUAAAGGAUGUUAUCUAAUAAACACGAUAAGUGAACAGAUUAUCUAAUACAGGAAUGUAAGUGUUCUUUUCCUGCUGAAAUACCCCCGGCAUGAGCGUAGCUAUCUUUAAACGCACAUUCUGCACACACACUGAGGACAUGUGGAUUAAAGGAACUCUUUUAAACUAAAUCCUAUCUUAGAUUUGACUUCUAUCCAGCAUAAAGGGGCUGGAAUUCUGUGAGACACAGCAGGUGGGUAUAAGAAUAUAAUGGGCGCAAUGACUCAGAGUGUACAAUAACUCCACACUUUCUAUUAUUACACACUGGCACUGACUGAAUAACUUUUUAAAUUGAAAACGUUACAAAGUGCUCAGUGGCCAGCACAGAACUCAAUAACAUAAAUGUCAGGCUUUAGCAACUAGCAUGAAAAGCAUAUAUUUGUAUGCUUUAAAAUCUGUUUUGCUAUUAUAUUUUAAAUCUGAAAAUUCCGAGAGUCAUACCUUUUAUUAAUUUGGCUCUGGUAACAAACAUUCUAAUAAUUCCUGUAAAAAGCUGAAAAAUGUUAUGUGAAGCUGAGAAGGAAAUGGAGAGGUCUUAAAUUUAAGACAAUGAUUAAAAUAAAAAGGGAAAGCUAACCAAACAGCAGAUGAUGCAUUGUGAGGAUAUUAAAGGGAACUGCAUAAGGUGAAAAUUUGGUUUAAGAAAUGAAAGUCAACCUGAGACAAACUCAGACUGAAGUUAUCAGUAAUGAAAGACAGGUGCUACCACACUCCGUACCAGUAGGUGGCGGUAAUGCAUACCUAACACUUCUUGGCAACCGCCAAGAAAAAAACCAAGGAGACGAGGGAAAGACGCCUGUUAAUUAGCUAACACAAACCUGGUGUGUUGGAAGGAAAAAGAGAAAAAACAAAACAAAAAAACAGCUAAGACGUGUCUUUACUACGACUGGAAAAAAACAAACACAGGGGCGGUAUAACACUGCUACCUGGAGGGGGCUGAGCACGGUCCACACUGCAUGAAGUAGGGAGACGAAACUGAAUCCCUGUAAGGAGGAAGUAACAUCAGUUAGGAAGAAAACAUAGAGGUAAAAGUACACUCUUAAAUGGGUUCAUUCAAAUGAAUAUUGUAUAGAAAGACCACUUCAAAUUUCCUUGAAUAAGUAAUUCAUCAAUGAACUACUAAGGAGAAAAGCAAACACAGAGCUCUUAAAGCACAAUUGUAUGUCGUUGAAAAAAGCGUUUUGUUUUUUUUUUAAAAAUAUGUUACAUGUACUCUCAUUGUAAAAAAUAAAGCUCUUUCAAGCAGAUCUAGUUGCUACACGGGUUUAAAAUUUCUUAAAUCUAACAUCAUCUUUCCAAAACCACACAAUACAACCCAUUACCUCUUAUACAAACAGAAAAUGAACCUUAAAACAAAUAAAAUCCUUGGAUUCAAAGAGGGUGUAAUUUUGUUAAUAAAUUAGUUGGUGUGGGAUUAACUGGAGCCAAAAACAUAUUAUGCUGAUGAUACUGUCAUUUUAGUACCUAUGAGUCUUUCUUGAAACUAAAAUUAGAUACAUGAAACUAUUUUUAUUCGUGCUAAGGCAGGUAAUGUUUCCACUGCCACACCAGAUGAUACAAGUAUCUCAAAAGCUAGGCGAUGUUAACACCGUCCUUUGAUGUUUUCAUCACAUAGUUCUUAAAAUAAUAAGAGUUUAUUAAAUAGUGUUUUGUUUCCUGAAAUUACAAACUGUUCAUAAUUCUGUUUCUAUAAAAGCCAUCUAUAGUUCCACUGGUCAGGAGACAAAAACAGUUAAGGUUAAGCUCCUUAUUUCAGCUUUGUUAGAAGAGUUGAUGGAUAUUUAUAAAGAUGCAUGAUAUCAGGAAAAUGCUUUGAAAUAUUUAUUUAAUCCCCAAAACAUUUCCUUCUUUUCAGUCACUAAAUAUCCUUACCACUCUUCUUUGAGCUUUGGCAUCCCAGCUAAAGAAAUGCAUCUAACAGACGUUAGUCCGGUGAAAUUACUGAUACAAUUUUAAUGCACAGAGAAAUAAUGCACUUGUUAGCAUUUAAGACUCUAAUCAUCUUGAUUCUUAUAAAAAACAAGAUGCUCAUCUUCUUUUAAUAAAUAGGACCCAGCCUGGAAGUAGAAUAGUUUUUCACAAUUUAUGAACUAUUUAGUGUUUUUUCCACUGUCAUUCUUUGUAAAGUAUUUUUAUGUUUAUUCAAACAAUAGAAAUUGUAAGAAAUGUCAUUUUCUUUAGGGGAAGUUUGCAUUUCUCUCUCUGAUAACUUGAUUUAUAACACUACUGAGACUUGUUGGUUUCUAUACAUUCAUGUCAUUAAGAUUAACUGAUAAAUCCUACAAUAAUUAUUAUUUUUUACCACGAGUGUACAUUGUGUAACAAUCUUAAGCAAUUCCUCUGCAUGUAAAUUGUAUAACUAUUGAAACCGUUAUUCAGUAAUAUCUGUGUUUUCUUCUCCAAAUGCAUUUUCUUUUAAUAGCCCUGAAGCAACUUGUAACCUUGAUGAGCAAUGUCCAUGAGCAACAUUCCUUAUACAGCGUCUUAAAAAUGUUGCUGUGCUUGAAACACAUCUUUGGGUGUUUGUCUUUCAUAGCUUUGCACAACUUCCUUUUGUAGGCAGUUUUAUUUACCCAUUUGAAUACAUUAAAUGUUUCAGUAUAAUAGUAAACCAACUUCCAACAGACUUUAAUACUGUUGGCAAACAGUUUCGGAAUAAUAGCAGUUACUAGGAAUGUGACUCAUCUACAAUGCUUUAAAUCUAAAAAAUAAGCAUCAUGACUCUUAAUAGUUUUUACUUUGUACUGAAACACACAACAUCAAAGAACAUUCGUUUAAAUGUGUAAACAUUUUGCUCUCCAUGUCUAUAUUAAACAUGCAUACAAGACAGACAGGAAAUUAUCAACAUGAAUGUGAAGCUACAGUCGUUGUAUAAAUAUCAUCUGAAAUGAUUCUCAAUUUUUAAAGUAGACAAGUACUUUUAAAUGUGUUUUACAAGGUAACCAUUAAGCCAUUCAGAAAGAGAUUGCGUCUCUUCUUAGGAGGCACAAUCCUUCAGUCGGUUUUGGACUGCACUGUAAAAGUAAUGCCCAGAAAGACUUGAAAGAUCAUCAGGUCCUGAAAAAGCAAAGCGAAGUGUUGUAGGAAUAAACUGGAGUCGCUUUCAUGUUACAUAUUAGCAGAAUUAACAAAAUGAGAUUAAGACAACAAAGAACAACAAGAAAGUCAGACAGAAUGUGGUGAGAGACCCAGACAAAGAACACAGUUCUGAACUGGAAAGUAAGAGAGUCUGUCUCUGUUCUCUAUUUUCACUUUUCGAAAACAAUUUAAGAACUAUGCAUGCUGCAGUAAAGCAUUGGGACAUUUUUAAAGAUUCAUUUCCACAUUUUGCUAAAUUUUGGAGUGAUUGGAUCAAAUAAUUUUACUUGUGAUAUACUUGCAAUGAACACAUUGUGCUGUACUUAAUUCAACUAGCAUAAGCCAAACUUUGAUGACUCAGAAACUUUAGUCUUUUUGCAAAAUCUGGUUGAGGUUUCCAAUUAAUCAAUUAGGUGUAUAUGAAAA